Molecule: long non-coding RNA, 5117 nt
Filed under: Sus scrofa (pig)
Lineage: Eukaryota; Metazoa; Chordata; Mammalia; Artiodactyla; Suidae
Description: lncRNA (ENSSSCG00000057120.1)
Source: RNAcentral
UGAGCUCAUUUAACCAUAAUUAUCUCCUUAAAGACCCUGUCUCCAAAUACAGUCUCACUGAAGGCUUCAACAUAUGGAUUUGAGGUGGACACAAUUCGUCUAUAACAUAUACUGGGCCCUGUGCUAGGUGCUGGGAAUAAUAAUUUCUGAAGACAUUUCAGUCCCUCCCUUAAGGAGCUCCUAAUUUGGGGACUGACCCUGUAGCUGGUAGAACAAUGGGAUAUACCAGGAGCUGAGGGGACCACUGAGAACAGACAUCUACUUUAUGUGGUAAUUUCUGUAGGGCCUUUAUUAUGGUUGUAUCUUGAGCAAGCAAAUUCCACAAAUAUUCUGGGUAAAUAGUGAUGGAGCUGUUUUUUUUGUGUGUAGCAAAGUUGUACACUGAGACCCUUAAAGGUAUAGAGGAGGUGAAUUUCUGUAAAAUCCAAAGCAAGAGUUGGGAAUGAACUUUGGCAAUUGGUACAAAUUAAAUACGGGAUUUUCUUAGGGUUCCAAUGUUUUGACUGUCUUGGACAACCUCUCUCACCCACACUACACCACUUCCUUGACCACAGCUACAGGUUAGAGUGGACAGGAAGCUUUGAAGAGAGGACAGAGAAAAGUCUUUGGGCUGGAAAAUUGGGGAUACAGGUUGUUGAAACAGAAGGAGGCCACCAACUCUUCUCACAUUACUAGCUAUGUAGGAAGAGGGAAAGUCCAAAAGAGAUACAUGAAACACAGGACACUGAAUGGUCCACAGAUACAAAGACUUUUAAACCCUUCACUAGCUGCAUCAAAACCUCCACACUGCAGGCCCAAAAUGUCCUUGAAUUUGGACUUGAGAUUUGCCACAACCCUGCUUGUAAAACUGUUAGUAAAAUAGGAAAGGAAUGAAAGACCUGGGAGUGCAAUUUUGACCUAGAGUCACUAGGGGGCAGACACGGCUUCCCUCUGGUGGGAAGAGAAAGGACUGGCAUUUUUGGGGUGUAGCAUUAGGGUGGGGCAUUCAGUGUUGUACUGGGGAUGGAAUUAGCAGCUGUUAUAAUGGUGUGUUUUGGGGGAAGGGGUAGGUGGCAUGUCAAAGACCUAGUUAUUACGCAGUAAUAAGUGUUGACCUUACACAAUAGACUAGCUGGUGAAAAUCUCUGGAAUAUGAUAAUAAAUAAUAGUUUAAGAUAACUAACUGACAUGUUUGAGUGUGUUUUGUAACAUACAGGAGAAUCCUCUAUUUGCAUGCGCACACACACACACACAUACUCACUCAAACUAAACAUGCUCACUGACUUAAAUACAUUAACACAAUGUGUAAAUAUUGCUUCAGGUUAGAAAAUAUGUUAUGUCCAAAUCAUGUACUCUUUUCAAAAUACACCUGGAGGGGAAAUGCUGCCUGUAUUUCAAAGAGCUUUUAAAUUUCAUUGAGUAGUGGUGUAUCAGCCUAGCCUGCCAAAAUCUAGAAGGUUAUGAGUCAAGUUGAGGAUGCUGAUCACAGGUAACACUGGAUCCAGCCCCCCACCAUCUCUGUCCUCUCUUGGCCCUGCACAAAUCUGUGGCUCAUAGCCAGAAUGUAUUGGUAUUCCUUACUCUCCUGGGUCCUGCUUCCCCUAAAUCUCCCAGCCACUGUAACCUGCUUUCUUCUCAUAUACUUUCUCAUAUACCAAGUCGAGAACCUCUGAGAGCCAUCUUUAUAUUUGGGAUUAUGGUAUAAAAAGAUCAGAAUCAUGAAGCCAGGUUCCCCCAGAGCAUCCUCACCUGCAGGAAGUGAUUGUCAUAAGCAGGGGUAGGGCUAAGCCCUUAGACACUCGUGGGGAAGGGAAGGAAAGCGUGCUCCUCUUGGGCCAGGAACUGGGCUUGAUCCUUUCAUUAUCUCAUUUAAUUCUUUAUACUAAUCUGCAAGUUUUCUGUUAUUUUCUCCAUUUUAUAAAUGAGGAAACUGAGGAUCAGGGAAGCUAAGUACUUUCUAAUGUUCAUGUAGAUCUGGGAUUUGAAUUAGCUUAGUUCUUCUGAAUAGUCCUGGCUCCAGUGCUGCUAUUUUAGCAGCAUCACCUAAGGGCUUCCUCUCUGUUCUCCAGCUUCUCCAUGUAAUUGAGGAUCUCAUAUUGGCAAUGACAAUGUGAUGAUGAUGAUCCUGACAGUAGCUAACUUGAUUGACCACUUACUGUGGGCCAAGCAGUGUGCAAAGCACCAAGCCUUCAUUAUAUUCGAUUCUUACAAUGACUCUGUGCUGAAAUCAGUGUUAGUAUCACCUGAUGCUUAGGAAUGUAAAAACUUGUACAAGGUCACAUAACCAGCAAGUGAUAGUGCCCAGAUUUGAACCUAAGUCUGUCUCUAAGUUCAGAACCACUUUGCUGUUCUGUGCAUCUUGAGAGUCUGAAGUGUGUAGAGACAUAAUCAGGGCUACAGGACUAUUCAGAAGAUCCUUUAAAAAUCUAAAAUAAUACUUAGCAAAAAGGGAACAGUCAUAUCUUUAUGUGGCAUGGUAUAAUGAUGCAGCUGGAAAAAAUGCUUACAUGCUAAAACAGGGAACUUUCUAACUCUGCUUAGAAAAAUAAUCAACUUUGAUUAUUUUCAUUUAUUCUGUUCUUGCAUUGAAAUUCCUGGAGUCUGGUUUUAAUUGCAUAGAAAGUCUGCUUGGGCUGUUUUUAUUUGCCAGGAGCCCCUUUCAUCAUUUCUAUAACCAGUUGAUGGACUUACUAGGAUCUAGGAAAUCUAGUUCAUUGGUGUUUCUGGUUCAGUGAAGGCCUUCAAGUAACCAGGAUGAAGGAAUGAAUGACUAUUUUGCUGUCAACUACUAGCAUCUAGCUAUAGAACAAUGAAAUACAGCAUGAUCAGGGGAAAGUGGAAGUAUGGUUAACAAUGAACUUGAGUUAAUAUAUCUUGACACAUUGAAUCUGAUUCAGUUGCUCUGCUAUUCUUUUGUCUGCAACUUUGGAAAUGAAGUAGAUAAGUCCCUUCUUACCAGCACCUUGAAAAGGAUCAGACAUCAAACCAGAUCUCAGGAACUUGUCAAUACUCCCCAGAGCAAUAUUUUUUAAACCUCAAGAUUUGAAUACUUCUCUAACAAUAUUUCAAAGAAUAAACACAAGGAUGGGUUCAUCAACAAGGGUCAGAUGGGUAUUACUCGAAUAUCUUGGGUGCAAGUCGUUCUGCUAUUUGGUGUGUGAGCAUUGAGCGUGAUUCCAUACGAAGACAGGCAUUGAACCAGGGGAGGAACGUGGCCACUGCCUCAAGGCAACCGGCCAAGGAGGAGGACUCACUUUAAUUCCCCAGGUGGCAGCAGCCAACAAGGAUUUAACAGUCCCCCAGGGCAUGGCAUCUGGAGGAAAGUGUACCUUCCAGAGAUGCAGAGAGAGUCUGGAUUUAACAUUGGGUUUAAGAUUCUGAGAGGAGUGGUGAGGAGUGUGGGAAUGGGAGGCAGUGUAGCACAGGGAUGGGUUAAAACCAGGAAGCCCGUCGCUAAGUCCAGCUCUGCCACUAGGUGGCCAAGGGACCUGGGGCAACUCUUGUCACCAGUACCACCCCCACCCAUCAUCUUUCUCAUCCUUACCCUCAGCCAAUAAGUGUGGUUGGAUGCGGUCAUCUCUAAGUACUGUUAGAUACUAUAUGACUCACAAUUUGACAAUGUCCCUGGCAUUUUCAUCACAUUCUUUAUGAUGAAAGAACUUGAUUACAUUGGAGGGAGUUGCAGAAGGAAUGGUCAAAUGUGGUAUGUUCUAGAGAGAUGCCACUGAUUAUAGCUGUAAUUUCUUUGCUUUUUAACUAUGUUCCAGGCACUGUGCUAAGCCCUUACUAGAUCUCACAUACAUAUACCUCUUUUACUCUACCUUUAAGCAGCUUUUAAUUAUCUUUGUUGAAACAAACCAACUUAAGUCAAAUUCACCUUAGUAAUAGCUAAGGAGGUAGUUGUUAAAAGAUGGAGAAAUGCCAUUAGGAGAAAAGAGGCAAAUGUUUUUGGUUACAGGUUGUCUGAAGAAUAAAGUUAUAAUGGUUCAAGUAAGAUUCGUGUCUUGCAUGAGUCCUUUACAAUGGGCAGCAGAAAUGAGAAAUGGUGAAGACACUGUGUCAGCAGGAAUGCCAAAUGUGGAGGCAAAAGUAACCUCAGUUGCUCUUGAAAGAAUGGAGCUGGAGUCCAAGGUCACAUUGGAGGGGCCCCUGUAAAUGUUCCAUGGCAAGGAGGCUGAGGACACUCUAUGUUUCUAAAGCUUUUAAUCCUGACUUCAGGGAGAUUGGUCUUCUUUACAGAUGUCUCUCACUUACUAUCCUUUGGAAGGAUUCCAAACUCGUGCCUCCAUUUUUGAGAUGGAAAUGUGAAUUUUGGAAUGGUUAAGUGGCUGGUGUGCAGCUCGCCACAGCCCUGUGGAACCAGGAAAGUAGCUCAGUGUCCAGUAAAGGUGCCUCUCCUCCUCAUCCUAUUUCCUUUACAUAAGAGCAGACUCAAGUGUUUAUGUGAUGUCUGCUUAAGGCCAAAGUGAUCAUAGAAUAUGUCUUCUGCACAUUUUGUUCCGUAUUUAUGCAUCUCUGAGGUACCCCAAAUCCAAUCUCAGAGCCAAAUUGGCCAUUGGCCAUUGACUUCAGUUUCCCCAGAGGGAGGGCUGACUAAGCAGCCAAAGGCUCUUAUUCCUAAGGAAUUUAAAUUACAAUCAAUCUCUGGUCCUUAGGGAAGAAACAAGCAAGAGCAAAUCUCACAACGGUGUGAGUUUAUUACUUACAUGAUACAGUUGGGAGCACACUGUCCCAGUGAUUCUUGGCAAGUCAACAAAGUUUUUCUCCAGCAUCAUACUGUUUGGAUUUCAACAGUAUUAAGACUGAAGUCUCAUGUUAUGUGCUUCCUACACAGAGCCUCUUCUGAACUUAUUCUUUGGAGGAUGUCGGUAAGAAGACACCUUAAUCGUAGGAGCACCUGCAGUGCCAGGAAGGAAUAGAGUUGAGAAUAAGUGCCAUCUGAGAUCCAUCCUUGACUUUCCUAUGUGCCUUGUCAGUACCUUGAACCUUUUACAUGGGAGGGAGAUAUUGAAAGUUCCUGAGGGAAAACUCUUGAGUUCUGGGGACAAUUGACCUACCUUCUUCCCUCUAGGAGAUGUCCCCUGACUUUCGCUCUAAAUAAGACAUCUUGAUUUAUACAGGGUGCUCUAGAAUACUUG